GAUGAAUAACGUAGCGAAAUGCGAUAACUAAUGUGAAUUGCAGAAUUCAGUGAAUCAUCGAGUCUUUGAACGCACAUUGCGCCCCCUGGUAUUCCGGGGGGCAUGCCUGUCCGAGCGUCAUUGCUGCCCUCAAGCACGGCUUGUGUGUUGGGCUCCGUCCCCCCGGGGACGGGCCCGAAAGGCAGCGGCGGCACCGAGUCCGGUCCUCGAGCGUAUGGGGCUUUGUCACCCGCUCUGUAGGCCCGGCCGGCGCCAGCCGACAACCCAUCAUCCCUUUCAGGUUGACCUCGGAUCAGGUAGGGAUACCCGCUGAACUUAAGCAUAUCAAUAAGCGGAGGA
This 339-nucleotide unclassified non-coding RNA is filed under the name soil metagenome. Its description in RNAcentral is "partial contains 5.8S ribosomal RNA, internal transcribed spacer 2, and large subunit ribosomal RNA". The stretch from base 1 to 120 matches the Rfam family "5.8S ribosomal RNA", at positions 35 to 154 of the family's 154-position model. The record is from RNAcentral.